AGUAUAGGUGACCUUAAUAGUGCAAAACUGAAGUCCCGAGUGCAACUAAAGACACGGUCUGUAGAAGAUCACAGUUGCUGAGGUCAGUGUUGUGCAGUGUUCAAGAGCCUGAUGGUUGCUGG
Molecule: long non-coding RNA, 122 nt
Organism: Amblyraja radiata (thorny skate)
Lineage: Eukaryota; Metazoa; Chordata; Chondrichthyes; Rajiformes; Rajidae
Exons: 3
Source: RefSeq, a predicted model, not a curated record